GAACGCUGGCGGCGUGCCUAACACAUGCAAGUCAACUUGACUGAAGGAGCAAUCUGACAGUAGAGUGGCGCAAGGGUGCGUAACGCGUAAGUAACUUGCCCAAGGUAAGGAAUAACGUCGAGAAAUCGGCGCUAAUACCUCAUAAUGCAGCGGAUCCGCAUGGAUAUGUUGUUAAAGGUUUACCGCCUUGGGAUAGGCUUGCGUCUGAUUAGCUAGUUGGUGUGGUAACGGCACACCAAGGCUACGAUCAGUAACUGGUCUGAGAGGAUGAUCAGUCACACUGGAACUGAGACACGGUCCAGACUCCUACGGGAGGCAGCAGUGAGGAAUAUUGGGCAAUGCUCGAAAGAGUGACCCAGCAACGCCGCGUGGAGGAUGAAGGUGUUCUAUAUCGUAAACUCCUGUGAGAGCAGACGAAAGACAGAUUAUUAAUCUGGAUGACUGUAUGCUCAGAGGAAGCCCCGGCUAACUACGUG
RNAcentral lists this ribosomal RNA (476 nucleotides) under uncultured bacterium. RNAcentral's name for it is "bacterial SSU rRNA". It matches the Rfam family "Bacterial small subunit ribosomal RNA", at positions 31 to 507 of the family's 1533-position model. The record is from RNAcentral.